GGAGUCUACCUAUUAUGCGAGUGUUAAGGUGGAGAAACCUAAACGCGUACCGAAAGGGAUGUAAGAUGUGAAGCGCAAGCUGCAACAUCAACCAAUCUUGAUUCUCUGAAGAAGGACUUGAGUAAGAGCAUAAUCGGUAGGACCCGAAAGAUGGUGAACUACGGUUGAAUAGGGUGAAGCCAGGGGAAACUCUGGUGGAGGCUCGAAGCGAUACUGACGUGCAAAUCGUUCGUCAAAUUUGACUGUAGGGGCGAAAGACUAAUCGAACCAUCUAGUAGCUGGUUCCCUCUGAAAUUUCUCUCAGGAUAGCAGGAACAGAUUAUGCAGUUUUAUCAGGUAAAGCUAAUGAUUAGUGGAAUCGGGGGUCUAGUAUCCUUGACCAAUUCUCAAACUUUAAAUUGGUAAGAACUACGAGUUAUCUUAAUUGAACUCGGAGGUAGAAUGCAUUGUUCUUAGUGGGCCAUUUUUGGUAAGUCAGAACUGGCGAUGAGGGAUGAACUAACGUUGAGAUAAGGU
RNAcentral lists this ribosomal RNA (516 nucleotides) under uncultured eukaryote. Its description in RNAcentral is "eukaryotic LSU rRNA". It matches the Rfam family "Eukaryotic large subunit ribosomal RNA", at positions 670 to 1186 of the family's 3401-position model. The record is from RNAcentral.